CCUACCCUAACAAUGCCGUGUGAUAAGCCGGUCCAUCAGCUGCCUGAAGGUUCCCUGGAUGCCACUAUGUAGAAAAUACAAAGAACGACGGAUAUACGCUUAAGAACUGAUCUGUGGAUAAACAAGAUUUUCAAAAAUCCAAUUACUAAUGCAGUAAAUAUGACUACAACUGAUGGACCUCUAGCGACUACAGCUCAAGAAAGUCAUAUGGAACAUAUAGAAGUUGGCAAACAAGAAAAGGAACCUGUUGUAAAAGACAAGCUAGAACCUUUGGAAAUAAACCAAGAAA
Long non-coding RNA from Spea bombifrons (plains spadefoot toad), 289 nucleotides. RefSeq lists it as uncharacterized. The record is from RefSeq and is a predicted model, not a curated record. The transcript is spliced from 2 exons. Lineage: Eukaryota; Metazoa; Chordata; Amphibia; Anura; Pelobatidae.